CGAAAGCCUGACGGAGCAAUACCGCGUGAGGGAGGAAGGUCUAAUAGAUUGUAAACCUCUUUUCUCAGGGAAGAAAAAAAUGACGGUACCUGAGGAAUAAGCAUCGGCUAACUCCGUGCCAGCAGCCGCGGUAAUACGGAGGAUGCAAGCGUUAUCCGGAAUUAUUGGGCGUAAAGCGUCCGCAGGUGGUCAUACAAGUCUGCUGUCAAAGGCCAGAGCUUAACUCUGGGAAGGCGGUGGAAACUGUAAGACUAGAGACCGGUAGGGGUAGAGGGAAUUCCCAGUGUAGCGGUGAAAUGCGUAGAGAUUGGGAAGAACACCAGUGGCGAAGGCGCUCUACUGGGCCGGAACUGACACUCAGGGACGAAAGCUAGGGUAGCA
RNAcentral lists this ribosomal RNA (381 nucleotides) under Gloeocapsa sp. AECC1307. RNAcentral describes it as "bacterial SSU rRNA". It matches the Rfam family "Bacterial small subunit ribosomal RNA", at positions 376 to 770 of the family's 1533-position model. The record is from RNAcentral. Lineage: Bacteria; Bacillati; Cyanobacteriota; Cyanophyceae; Chroococcidiopsidales; Chroococcidiopsidaceae. RNAcentral also lists the same sequence under 2 other names.